Molecule: ribosomal RNA, 480 nt
Filed under: uncultured bacterium
Lineage: Bacteria
Description: partial 16S ribosomal RNA
Rfam family: Bacterial small subunit ribosomal RNA
Source: RNAcentral
GACGAACGCUGGCGGCGUGCUUAACACAUGCAAGUCGAACGAUGAAGUUCCUUCGGGAAUGGAUUAGUGGCGAACGGGUGAGGAACACGUGAGAAACCUGCCUUUCAUUUUGGGAUAACUCCGGGAAACCGGGGCUAAAACCGAAUACUCCGUCUCGGCGGCAUCGCUGAGCCGGGAAAAAAUUUUGAUGAAAGAUGGUCUCGCGGCCUAUCAGCUAGUUGGUGAGGUAAUGGCUCACCAAGGCAACGACGGGUAGCCGGCCUGAGAGGGCGACCGGGCACGCUGGGACUCAGACACGGACCAGUCUCCUACGGGAGGGAGCAGUGGGGAGUAUUGGGAAAUGGGCCGAAGCCUGACCCAGCGACGCCUCGUGAGGGAUGAAGGCCUUCGGGUUGUAAACCUCUUUCAGUAGGGAAGAAGCGAAAGUGACGGUACCUAAAGAAGAAGCACCGGCUAACUAUGUGCCAGCAGCCGCCGUAA